Molecule: ribosomal RNA, 363 nt
Filed under: Triticum aestivum (bread wheat)
Lineage: Eukaryota; Viridiplantae; Streptophyta; Magnoliopsida; Poales; Poaceae
Description: partial small subunit ribosomal RNA
Source: RNAcentral
AUGGCUGUUGGGCCGACGGCACCGGCAAGAGCCGACUCGUCGUGCGCGGUUACGGUGGGAGAACUCGGCGGCACUGCUGGGCAGAGCAAUUCCGCCCAGAAAAGGAAGCAGUCUCCAACUCAGUCCGUCGAGUCCACCGGGAUGGUCAACCUAGAUGCACCAGACUGGACCAGAAGAUUCCAGUACAGAGAGUUCAGUGCAGAUGUUGAGCAGCCAGAUCCAUUGGUUUCGAUGGUUGUUGGGCCAUCGGCAUUGACAUGCGCCGAGUCAUCGUGCACGAUUGUGCUUGGACAACUCGGCGGCACUGCUGAACAGAGCAAUUCUGCCGGCAAGAGGAAGGAGUCUUUCAUUUCAUAUACAUGA